This is a non-coding RNA of Podarcis lilfordi (Lilford's wall lizard), 70 nucleotides long. The record is from the annotation of a GenBank genome assembly. NCBI's taxonomy places the organism in Eukaryota, Metazoa, Chordata, Lepidosauria, Squamata, Lacertidae.
GUGAUAGCUCAGUCAGUAGAGCAUGAGACUCGUAAUCUCAGGGUUGUGGGUUCAAGUCUCAGGUUGGACA